This 497-nucleotide ribosomal RNA is filed under the name uncultured bacterium. RNAcentral's name for it is "partial 16S ribosomal RNA". It matches the Rfam family "Bacterial small subunit ribosomal RNA", at positions 28 to 507 of the family's 1533-position model. The record is from RNAcentral.
GAUGAACGCUGGCGGCGUGCCUAAUACAUGCAAGUCGAGCGAACAGACGAGGAGCUUGCUCCUCUGACGUUAGCGGCGCACGGGUGAGUAACACGUGUAUAACCUACCUAUAAGUCUGGGAUAACUUCGGGAAACCGGAGCUAAUACCGGAUAAUAUAUUGCACCGCAUGGGUCAAUAGUGAAAGACGGUUUUGCUGUCACUUAUAGCUGGAUCGGCGCCGCAUUAGCUAGUUGGUAAGGUAACGGCUUACCAAGGCAACGAUGCGUAGCCGAACUGAGAGGGGGAUCGGCCACACGGGAACGUAGACACGGUCCAGACUCCUACGAGAGGCAGCAGUAGGGAAUCUGCCGCAAUGGGCGAAAGCCUGACGGAGCAACGCCGCGUGAGUGAUGAAGGUCUUCGGAUCGUAAAACUCUGUUAUUAGGGAAGAACAAAUGUGUAAGUAACUAUGCACGUCUUGACGGUACCGAAUCAGAAAGCAACGGCUAACUACGUG